This 304-nucleotide unclassified non-coding RNA is filed under the name Hevea brasiliensis (rubber tree). Lineage: Eukaryota; Viridiplantae; Streptophyta; Magnoliopsida; Malpighiales; Euphorbiaceae. The record is from RNAcentral.
UUAUGAAUACUUGCCAAAUGGAAGUUUGGACUUGUUUCUAUUUGGUGAGUCUUCUAAUUUUUCUAUUGCUCUGUUUUAUGUUGGUUGCCUAAUUGUGUCUCCUUUAAGGGAUAUGAUUAAGGUACAAAGAUUAUAUAUAUAAUUUAACACUAACUCUUUGGAAAAUUUCAAAAUUUUUAAGAUCCAACUAGAAGUUUAUUAUUGAAUUGGAGUAAACGCUUCGAAAUUAUAGUUGGAAUUGCACGCGGAAUCUUAUAUCUCCACCAAGACUCAAGGUUACGAAUCAUCCAUAGAGAUUUAAAAA